RNAcentral lists this long non-coding RNA (2261 nucleotides) under Struthio camelus australis. RNAcentral describes it as "lncRNA (ENSSCUG00000009121.1)". Lineage: Eukaryota; Metazoa; Chordata; Aves; Struthioniformes; Struthionidae. The record is from RNAcentral.
CUCCGUCCCUUGGCAUCUCUCCCUGUAAUUAGUCUAUCUGUUUCUGAUUUAUUUAUUUUCAGGCAGUCUUCUGCACCCUUGCUCCCUCACUUGGGCGCAUGGGGCAAGCCACAAACUUGCCCUUAAACUACGCAGAAAAGAAAAAUCAGAAACAGACUAACCACAUGAGUCAAUAGCAGGGGACAGAAAACAGAUGACUGGAUACCGAAUUUCCCUUCAGAGAUCCAUCUGUCUUGAACUGUGAGGUAACCAGGCUCACGUACCACAUCUGCAAAGCGGGUAACGCAUCCUUCUGCAUAACCUGACUCGCGGAGUGAAACUAUGCUCACACAGAGAAACCAAGACAUGUUUAAAAACCAUUUCUAGGCAAGGAACAAAAGUUUGGUCUGUGUUCACAUAGCCAGAGCAAUCACUUUCUAGUCUAAAGUGACUCCGCUCAGUGUUAUUGUGGCCUCCUAGAAUUUAGGCUUGAAUUUGGCAGAAGUCUAGAAGCGAAGGAAUAUGCAGAACCACUUAGGAGAAUCAAAGUUUCAGUGNNNNNNNNNNNNNNNNNNNNNNNNNNNNNNNNNNNNNNAGUGGCAGUAUAAGAUGGCAAUCAGACAUUUCCUACAAAUAAACACAGCUGGAUAAUGACCUAUACCUCCCUAUGCCAUUAAAAUACAUUUAUUCUAUUCCAUAACUGUUCCUUGUUUGUCUCCCAAGAGCAGCACCCUUGCCUGAGAAGGAUUAUCGAGACACUAAUCAAAAAUAGACAAGCAGUGCAAAAAACGAGGUCCAAGCAGAUGUGUAUAAAUAGCUUCCUGUGCAUCCGAAAUGCGAGCGCUGUCUGAAAAGAUUGUGAUUCGAGUCGAUAGACUUGAUCUAGCCACGCAGACAGGGUAUACAGCUGUCAUUCCUGUACUGCACACAAAAUUUAUACCCUGUGGUUCUGCAGCCCUUCAGCAGGUGAAUGAUACGAAGUUGUUGUUCAUAUGAUAGAUCAGACACCAGAGAAAGCCUCCAGACAGAACCUCUGCUCGCUUCCGGCCAGGACGAAUCAAUCUUUCCUUCGUUUGGAAUCGGCAGAAAUACAGAUGCAAAAGCAGGACGUGGACAAAUGACAGAAGAUAAGGUAUUGCAUCGGCAAGCAGAACAUCCUGUCUUCGAGAUGGGCUUCCUGAGGUUCAUGCCCUUCAGUACUGCCUGUUGACCUCUCUUUCAAAUACAGGACUCCGAGGGAUCACCACAAUGGCCAAACCACUCUGGACCUACACGGUUGUGAAAACACUAGCCAUGCCCCCAUCAGAGUUGACAGUGAUGCAUUUUUUUCACUGACAAAUUAUAUUCUGCUGAGAAUGGGACUUUUUGCAGGUACUUACCUGUUCUUGUGAAGCUGCUACCUGAGAAGGGUUCUCAUGUCCAGGAUGAGACUCAAAAUACACCAAAGAGGAAGAAAACUGUCACAUCUCCCAGCCAAUCAUCCUGUGAUCAAGACUGGUGACAUGGAAGUCCAGACUUCAAGUUUCUGUUCUGCAAGAUGUCUGAGGGUCAGAAUCCUGCAUCUCAGGCAAGCUUUCUGGCCACCAAGCUAUCAGUUAUUCUGAAGAACAGCUUCCUCAGUCUCUCCUGUUGGACCAGUAUCAAUAAUUAAACAUUAAUUGGAACAAGGACUUGAAUUUAGACUGCCCACUGGAGUAUCGUAUUAGUCUUUCUGCGGGCCAAUGAGCAUGCAACUGUUUGUACAAAGGGAAUAAGCUGCAGAGCAACAGAAGCAGCUCAGGGAUCCCACAAACUCAAAAAAAGCCUUGUUAAGUCCUUGACUGGAACGAGGCAGAACAAGGGCUACUAGCUGUUCUAGGGAGGGCUUUGUCAAAUCAACUCAAAAGGGUCAUGUUUCCAUCCAUUUUGGAAAGAGAUAUUACUUUAAAGUCAAACAUUUUUGAAAAAUAAUUCCUGUAGCUAUAUGAUCCUCUAACAAAUCCUCUGCAUUAAAAGAACUAUUUUAAGUGUCUUUGGCAUCAUGAUAGCCUGAUUCUGACAGUCUCGGAAACAUCUGCCUCGCACAUGAAGAAGGACCUCACUGUUCCAGGUCCGAGUCUAGUGAGUCGUUCCUCUGACAUUCCUCCCAGCUUUGCUGCCGUUCUUAAAAUGAAGGCCUAUGUUUAUUACUUACCUAUUAUCUUUGUAUGACAAGUAUGACAUUCAGUCAUACAGACUAAUACAUGUCACACAGACAUAUUUGGUCAUAUAGAAAAAUAAAUUGAGGUAAUCACAAAAGUUCA